RNAcentral lists this transfer RNA (70 nucleotides) under Cocculina enigmadonta. Its description in RNAcentral is "tRNA-Val". Lineage: Eukaryota; Metazoa; Mollusca; Gastropoda; Cocculinidae. The record is from RNAcentral.
UAAGGAGUAUUAUAAAAUAAUAUAUUUCAUUUACAUUGAAAAGAUGGUGAGGAUAGAUUUCCCUUCUUAA